RNAcentral lists this ribosomal RNA (253 nucleotides) under uncultured bacterium. RNAcentral's name for it is "partial 16S ribosomal RNA". It matches the Rfam family "Bacterial small subunit ribosomal RNA", at positions 524 to 776 of the family's 1533-position model. The record is from RNAcentral.
UACGGGGGGGGUAAGCGUUGUUCGGAAUUACUGGGCGUAAAGGGCUCGUAGGCGGCCAACUAAGUCAGACGUGAAAUCCCUCGGCUUAACCGGGGAACGGCCUCUGAUACUGGAUGGCUUGAGUUCGGGAGAGGGAUGCGGAAUUCCAGGUGUAGCGGUGAAAUGCGUAGAUAUCUGGAGGAACACCGGUGGCGAAGGCGGCAUCCUGGACCGACACUGACGCUGAGGAGCGAAAGCCAGGGGAGCAAACGGG